CCUACGGGAGGCAGCAGUGGGGAAUAUUGGACAAUGGGCGAAAGCCUGAUCCAGCAAUGCCGCGUGAGUGAUGAAGGCCUUAGGGUUGUAAAGCUCUUUUACCAGGGAUGAUAAUGACAGUACCUGGAGAAUAAGCUCCGGCUAACUCCGUGCCAGCAGCCGCGGUAAUACGGAGGGAGCUAGCGUUGUUCGGAAUUACUGGGCGUAAGGCGUACGUAGGCGGUUAUUCAAGUCAGAGGUGAAAGCCUGGAGCUCAACUCCAGAACUGCCUUUGAAACUAGAUAGCUAGAAUCUUGGAGAGGUGAGUGGAAUUCCGAGUGUAGAGGUGAAAUUCGUAGAUAUUCGGAAGAACACCAGUGGCGAAGGCGACUCACUGGACAAGUAUUGACGCUGAGGUACGAAAGCGUGGGGAGCAAACAGGAUUAGAUACCCUGGUAGUCCACGCCGUAAACGAUGAUAACUAGCUGUUCGGGCUCUACGAGCUUGAGUGGCGCAGCUAACGCAUUAAGUAUCCGCCUGGGGAUACGGUCGCAAGAUUAAAACUCAAAAGGAAUUGACCGGNUGAGAGNGCGAGACGACGACGAGGGAGAG
Molecule: ribosomal RNA, 591 nt
Filed under: uncultured bacterium
Lineage: Bacteria
Description: bacterial SSU rRNA
Rfam family: Bacterial small subunit ribosomal RNA
Source: RNAcentral